RNAcentral lists this ribosomal RNA (151 nucleotides) under Schizophyllum commune. RNAcentral describes it as "5.8S ribosomal RNA". It matches the Rfam family "5.8S ribosomal RNA". From Rfam's summary of the family: 5.8S ribosomal RNA (5.8S rRNA) is a component of the large subunit of the eukaryotic ribosome. It is transcribed by RNA polymerase I as part of the 45S precursor that also contains 18S and 28S rRNA. Lineage: Eukaryota; Fungi; Basidiomycota; Agaricomycetes; Agaricales; Schizophyllaceae. The record is from RNAcentral.
UUCGACAACGGAUCUCUUGGCUCUCGCAUCGAUGAAGAACGCAGCGAAAUGCGAUAAGUAAUGUGAAUUGCAGAAUUCAGUGAAUCAUCGAAUCUUUGAACGCACCUUGCGCCCUUUGGUAUUCCGAGGGGCAUGCCUGUUUGAGUGUCAU